Molecule: ribosomal RNA, 589 nt
Filed under: Purpureocillium lilacinum
Lineage: Eukaryota; Fungi; Ascomycota; Sordariomycetes; Hypocreales; Ophiocordycipitaceae
Description: eukaryotic LSU rRNA
Rfam family: 5.8S ribosomal RNA (bases 209-362)
Source: RNAcentral
GCCUGCGGAGGGAUCAUUACCGAGUUAUACAACUCCCAAACCCACUGUGAACCUUACCUCAGUUGCCUCGGCGGGAACGCCCCGGCCGCCUGCCCCCGCGCCGGCGCCGGACCCAGGCGCCCGCCGCAGGGACCCCAAACUCUCUUGCAUUACGCCCAGCGGGCGGAAUUUCUUCUCUGAGUUGCACAAGCAAAAACAAAUGAAUCAAAACUUUCAACAACGGAUCUCUUGGUUCUGGCAUCGAUGAAGAACGCAGCGAAAUGCGAUAAGUAAUGUGAAUUGCAGAAUUCAGUGAAUCAUCGAAUCUUUGAACGCACAUUGCGCCCGCCAGCAUUCUGGCGGGCAUGCCUGUUCGAGCGUCAUUUCAACCCUCGAGCCCCCCCCGGGGGCCUCGGUGUUGGGGGACGGCACACCAGCCGCCCCCGAAAUGCAGUGGCGACCCCGCCGCAGCCUCCCCUGCGUAGUAGCACACACCUCGCACCGGAGCGCGGAGGCGGUCACGCCGUAAAACGCCCAACUUUCUUAGAGUUGACCUCGGAUCAGGUAGGAAUACCCGCUGAACUUAAGCAUAUCAAAAGCCGGGAGGAAA